CCUACGGGAGGCAGCAGUGGGGAAUAUUGCACAAUGGGCGCAAGCCUGAUGCAGCCAUGCCGCGUGUGUGAAGAAGGCCUUCGGGUUGUAAAGCACUUUCAGCGAGGAGGAAAGCUUAAGCGUUAAUAGCGUUUAGGUGUGACGUUACUCGCAGAAGAAGGACCGGCUAACUUCGUGCCAGCAGCCGCGGUAAUACGAGGGGUCAAAGCGUUAAUCGGAAUUACUGGGCGUAAAGCGUACGCAGGCGGUUUGUUAAGCGAGAUGUGAAAGCCCCGGGCUCAACCUGGGAACUGCAUUUCGAACUGGCAGACUAGAGUCUUGUAGAGGGGGGUAGAAUUUCAGGUGUAGCGGUGAAAUGCGUAGAGAUCUGAAGGAAUACCGGUGGCGAAGGCGGCCCCCUGGACAAAGACUGACGCUCAUGUACGAAAGCGUGGGGAGCAAACAGGAUUAGAUACCCUGGUAGUCCACGCCGUAAACGAUGUCUACUCGGAAUUUGGUGUCUUGAACACUGGGUUCUCAAGCUAACGCAUUAAGUAGACCGCCUGGGGAGUACGGCCGCAAGGUUAAAACUCAAAGGAAUUGAC
Molecule: ribosomal RNA, 584 nt
Filed under: Shewanella sp. S2.3
Lineage: Bacteria; Pseudomonadati; Pseudomonadota; Gammaproteobacteria; Alteromonadales; Shewanellaceae
Description: bacterial SSU rRNA
Rfam family: Bacterial small subunit ribosomal RNA
Source: RNAcentral